AUGUCUUCGAUUGCGUCGCAGCUGCAGGCCAUCAAGUCGGCCCUCGGCUCCGCGCCGGAGUCGACUCGCCGGCCCAUCACCCGGCCGUCCGUGCUCUUCGACGCCAAGGAGGCCGCCGACAUCGACCUCCGCGCCAUCCUCCCCAUCGCCCUCUCCGGCUUGGAGCAUCUUACUGGUGUGGACGAGAGGUUUGCGAGGUACAGUAGCACGCUAUUCAGCCAGACUAGCCUUGAGGUCAACCGUGAGCAGCAAACUCAAAAGGAAAAUGACAAGCUGAACAAGUCCAUCUCCUCCUACCUUGGCCUUCUAGCUGGCUAUCUGCAGCUUCCAGCUGCCCUCAAGACGCUUGAAUACCUUAUCCGCCGAUACCUGGUGCAUGUCUACAACGUGGAUGAGUUGCUGCUGUGUGCAUUGCCGUACCAUGAUACACAUGCGUUUGUUCGGAUUGUGCAGUUGGUCAACUUAGGGAACAGUAAGUGGACAUUUCUUGAUGGUGUGAAAUCCUCGGGUGCACCCCCGCCCAGGAGUGUUCUAGUACAGCAGUGCAUCCGUGAUACUUCUUUGCUGGAGACCCUUUCCAACUAUGCGGCACCAAAAAAGGGUUUCCUUCAUUCAAGGACAGUGGUGUGCUUUUGCACUGCAGUAAUUGUGGAGUGCUUGGGAGCUAUCCCCAAGCUUGAUUCAAAUAUAGUGCAGAGGGUGGUGGGAUAUGUGUUCGACUCCCUUAAUCCUGAUAUUGGGGCAGACCGAGAUUAUAAGGCUGGCGCUCUGAUGAUUGUUGGGGUACUGGCAACACGAGCAACACUGGCACCAAAACUUGUUCAAGACUUAAUUAUCUUUGUUGCAAAGGCUGCACAGCAUGAUGCAUUGGAGUCGGUUGAUUUACCGUGGCUUCGUGUUACAGUAAUGGCUAUUAUAAGUCUAGUUCAGUCGCAGUCUGUCCAUGAAUUCCGUAAGAAGCCAUUGAUGAUUCUAAAAGACAUCAGGGAUUUUUCUGGCGUCCUUUCUGUAUUAUCAAGCGAGUUCAACAUUGAGAAUUUCGUUAGGCUUUAUGUUGAAUCACUGGUUGACUACAGUACUAGUGAUGAAUCCUGCCACGUGCACCUUAUUGAAACCAUGGAGACAAUACCUAUCAAGAACUUUGUUGAAAGGAUUGUGCGGAAGGUUCUUGGAAACUGUAUCAAAGCAUCACGGGUCACCGACAAUCCAGAUAUAAACCGCACAGGUAUAUGGGCAAAGAAGAUCUUCGCUGCAAUUGAAAAAAAAUAUUCAUGUGAGCUACGUGAUGCUAUCCGUAAAUUUCUUGAGGAAUCUGAAAUUAACUCAGUAAAAGGGGAUUCUUCUUCCAAGUUGCUCAGCUUAGUGUUUGAUGAAAGCAAGAGCAUGCCAGCUGAAAUUUCUGAUGCUAACAUCUGGUUCAGUCUGGAUCACCCAAAGGCUGUGGUCCGUCAAUCUGCUCUCUCGAAAAUUGCCAAGUCCGACAUUUUAAAGAAAAGUACUGCAAAUCCAGAGAAGUUUAUAAAUAUGCAAGAUGCAAUAAUUCGCAGUUUGUAUGAUGAUGAUCUAAGUGUUGUUCAAGCUGCCUUAUCCAUAGAAGGACUAGCCGCUAUCGCCAGUCCUCGUGGCCUUCUAAAAGCAUACGAUGAUUUGCUCGUGAAAUGCACCGACAUCAUUCACAAAGGUGGUUCAAAAACAUCAAAGGCUUGUGAUGUUGCUGUUUCAUGUUUGGAAAAGAUGGUUAUGGAAUAUCAGGUGCAUCACAUGGAACAUGCCAAGGACAUCGCUACAGUAGUAUUUGGUCUUCUUAUUGUUCACCCAAAGACCUUGAAGGUAAAUUUGAAGGCCUUGGAGCUAGCUAAGAAAAUACAAUGGGAUUUCUAUGCAAGUAGUCCUCUUGUUUAUGAGCUCACUGAUCCUGAAGCGAAGAACGUGCCUUUGGAAUCUAUAGCCUCCAUUAACAUGAAGAACAUCCAAGCUUUUGCUGAAACUUUUCUAUCAAACCCAAAUAAACAUGUGGAGUGGUUGGCUGACUGUGGAAACCGAAGUAGCUUUUCUAGAACUCUGUUCUUACUCAUAGUAUUGCAAGCUCUGCUUAUUCCUACUGAAGUUUUGGAUAAGCAGGUGAAUCUGUGCCAAGUUUGUUUGCCAGCUCUGAAGAACGAAUGGUCUCACAUACAGCCAAAAGGCGAUUGUAUUGGUGAUGAGAUCAGCAUUGACAACCUUGAGAAGUGCAUUACGGAACUAGUGAAGCAUAUUUUCAAUAAUGACACAGAUGCAUUGAAUGCUAGAAUUCUUGUCUGCAUAUUUUGGGGUCUGCUAAGGGUCCAGUCUUCCUAUGUUAAGCAGAAUUUUAUGAUUGAUGCUGGUGAAAAUAUAGCGCUUGAUGAUUUGUUUAUGUUUUUCAUCACAUCGCCUGACAACAAUAUCUUUCAGAAGCACCUACAGUAUCUGGUGGCUAACUGCACAGGAGCACCUAUUCAAUUUAUCUCAAAGUACCUUGUGGAUGAAGGUUUGUCUGCUGGAGUUCAAGCAGAGAGUCUUCUUGUGCUUGCGUCAAUUUGUUCAACGUGCGCUUUAUCUGAAAGUAGUAGUAUGGAUGAGAGCUUGUGUAUGCAGCUUCUACUUUUGUUCCCUUCUCUUAUUGUCCCUCUUUCCCACGAAAAUAAGGAUGUAAGGUCCUCUGCUAUGAAAUUUAUUGAGGGCCUGUCUUUGGUGUGGCAGCGCUUGAGCACUUCGGUGUCCAAAAAUGGAAACAACGGCAAAUUCCCCAUGUCAUCUCCAGCCUUUGGUGUUUUCCUCGAGUCAUUGGCCAACCAAAAGGCCAUGAUAUCCUCAGAUGCGAGAUUUUUACCUGCUUAUAUUUCAUCAAUGCUUAGCCCAAGUCAAGAUCUGAUGGUUCCUGAGAAUCUUCACGAAAGAAUUGAUCAGCCAACCAAAGAUGCUAUCCUUAAUUUCAUCUUGCACUCUUCUUUGAAGCUCUCUCCUUAUGGAAAGCUGAUGGUUCUGUCAGCCCUGAAAGGAGUAGGAACCAUCUUAUUUAAGGCAGAAGAGGUGAAGUCUUUGUUCUUGUAUCUUCUGGACCGUCGUAGUCAGUAUCAAAGUGGGCAUGAUUCUAAGCAGGUCCUGACUACUCAUGAAACACAAAUAUUGUGCUUGCUUUUGGAGGUUUUGUUCGCAGUGGCAGAUCAAACGAAUUUUGGUUUUGAUACAUUUGAGGCUCUAUUGAAAGCUUUAAAGGUUGAUGGUUUGUCUCACGAAGAUCCUGUUGCCGUGAUGCCAUGUUUAACUGCCCUGCAGAAUCUUCAACCAGUAUUCUUUGAAAAUUUGAAGAACGAUACUAAGGAUAAAGUAUUUGGGCUACUUAUUUCUCUGUUUCGAGCUGAGAAUUUGGAAAUUCGAAAUGCAACACGAGAUGCUCUACUGCGAAUUAAUGUUCAUGCCUCCACUGUUGUGAAAUUUAUUGAAUUGGUUGUAGCGCAAGGUGAUAAGAGAGGAAAUCCAAAGAGAAUAAAGAGAUCAGAGAAUCUUAACCGUGAUAACCAUUUUGAAGAGUAUUUUGGAGAACACCCUGUGUCUUCUAUUCUCACUUCUCUUCUGGAUAUUAUUUUUCUUAUGAAGAAUGUGAAUGAAAGGCUAUGUUUACUCCAACCACUUUGCCAGAUUCUAUCAAAGCUUCUUUCCGAUCAAUGGAUUUCAGGGAUAGUUUGUCAAUAUAACAAAGGCUCUUCUGAAACUCUUGAUGUACCCAGUUUUGUAAAAGAAACCCAGCAGUUGGUACUACUGACACUCAAAGAUAUCAUCGGUACACUACAAUCGGGCCACCAAGAUAAUCUGCUCAACAAUGGAAAUGUAAACCUCCUUAUCAAUUUCAUAAGGUCCACGGAGGAUGUAGGAACUCGUAAUCAUGGAUUGUCGUUGAUUGCAUCCUUAGCAAAGGCAUUCCCGCAGCUGGUUUCAGAAAAUAUUAUUGAUCUGUUUGUUGCUAUUGGGGAUGCAGUGAAACAGGAGGAUAGCCACUCGCAACAUGUUAUGGAGGAUUUAUUAUCUGUACUAGUGCCAUGUUGGCUAUCAAAGACCACAAGUAUAGAAAAGCUUCUUCAGAUAUUCAUUAAAUCUUUGACUGAUGUUGCCGAACAUAGGCGUGUGACCCUCAUGAUGUACCUUUUGAGGACCCUAGGAGAAAAUAGUUUGAGUACCGUGAUCAUGUAUCUACUGUACACGUUGAUUGAGCGGGGUUCACACUCUCUUUCGAAACACAAGAAGAGUCAUUGUGUCCUAUCCUUGAGUGCCAUGUCACAGGAGUGGGAAUAUGGUCUGGCAGUCAAUAUGACGGGCCAAUAUUCCUAUAAAUUAUGGUUUCCUUGUCUGUGUAAGCUACUACAAGAAAUCAAGGUGCAUCAGAAACAAGUUUUACUUCCUAUGCUACAUUUGGCGUUGCAGUUUAUUCUACUUAAGCUGCAAGAUACAGAGUUGAGAUUUGAGCUUGAAGCUGAGGAAGCUGCUAAUUCUAUCCAGAAUUCUCUUGGAACACUCAUGGAGGAAGUUGUGUUGUGCACUGUCUCUGUCAAAGACAAAAAAGGGGACAUUUCUGGUGAUAUUCUAAAGGAAGUCAGGAACAAUUCAAAUACUGUUCUGAAAAUAAUUACGGGAUGGAUGCAUGCUUCAACAUAUUUCAAAGGAAUUACUCAGUUGUUAGAACAUCCAGAAGGUCUUGUGAAAAGAAAGACACUUGGAAUAUUGUGUGAAACUGCAAGGGCGAAUAACAUGGUCCAGAACAAGCAAAAGAAAGAAAGAAAACUGAAGCGCAGCUCUCUGUCUACGGCACUCCAAGUGGACAAGAGCUCUUGUCCUUAUUUCAGCGAGCUGUGCUACAAGAUUCUAGAGUUGAUUGAUAGAGAGUCGGACACAUCUGUGAAAAUUGCUGCUAUUUCUUCACUUGAAACACUAGCGAAAGAAUAUCCCUCUGAAAAUCCUGCAUAUAGCAAGUGCCUUGCGACAAUCAUUAGUCACAUCAGCUCUGGUGAUUCUGUCACUUCUUCCGGGUUAAUAAAUACCGCAGGGUCUCUGAUUAACGUGCUAGGAUCAAAAGCAUUACCUCAGCUUCCACUUAUCAUGAAAAAUAUGCUGCAAAGAGCACAUCUAGUGUCAUGCUGCCCUAGUGGAAAAUAUGUUCAUGGUUCUCCGAGAACUGAUGCCAGCCUUUCAAACCAAUCUAUCAGUAUGUUGCUAUCCGUACUUGCAACUAUUCAGGUGAUUGUGCAAAAGCUUGGGGAAUUUGUUAGUCCAUAUUUGGAAGAAAUACUGGAUCUCGUGAUAUUGCAUCCUGAAUGUGCUACUCAAAUUGAUGGAAAGUUGGAUGUAAAAGCAGCAGAUGUUCGGGGCCUACUGACCGAGACAGUUCCAGUUCGGCUUAUUCUUCCACCUUUACUGAAUUUGUAUUCCAGUGCUACCAAAUGUGGAGAUGCAAGCCUGUCAUUGUCGUUCCAAAUGCUUGCAAAUGUAGUUGGUACAAUGGAUCGGCUGGCUGUAGGAACUUACCAUACAAAAAUAUAUGAACACUGUUUGGAAGCUCUUGAUCUCCGUCGUCAGAAUCUGGACUCCUUGAAGAAUAUAAAUUUAGUUGAGCAAAGUAUUACCCACACCAUUAUCACUCUCACGAUGAAGCUUACCGAGUCCACUUUUAGGCCUCUUUUCCUUCGUACUCUUGAAUGGGCAGAGUCUGAAGUUGAUCAGUCAACAUCAAAGAGAAGUAUGGACCGAGCAAUUGUUUUCUACAAGUUGGUCAACAAGCUCGCUGAACAACACAGGUCCUUGUUUACACCUUACUUCAAGUACCUACUUGAGGGAUCAGUACAAUAUCUAUCAGAAGAUGGUGUCUUGAUCAGUUCCAAGCGAAAGAAGAAGGCUAAACUUGGAGACGAUAUAGUCAAAUAUAAGGAUAGUUUGUCAGGACAGAAGCUGUGGAACUUGAGAGCACUGAUACUGAAAUCAUUGCACAAGUGCUUUCUUUACGACAAUGAUCAGAAGAUCCUAGAUUCCUCCAAUUUCCAGACUCUUAUGAAGCCCAUUGUUUCUCAGUUUGUUGCGGAACCGCCUGAAUCUCUUGAUUCAGUUCCAGACGCUCCAUCAGUUGAGGAAGUGGAUGAAAUUCUUGUUUCGUGCUUGGGCCAAAUGGCAGUGACUGCGCGAUCAGAUGUUCUGUGGAAGCCUCUUAACCAUGAGGUGCUGAUGCAGACAAGGAGUGACAAUGUCCGCCCUAAGAUGCUGGGCCUGAAGGUGGUGAGGUACAUGGUCCAACACCUGAAGGAGGAGUACGUGGCUCUGGUCCCGGAGACCAUCCCGUUCCUGGGCGAACUGCUCGAGGACGUCGAGCUUCCUGUCAAAACGCUGUCCCAGGAGAUACUCAAGGAGAUGGAGACCCUCAGCGGCGAGAGCCUCCGGGAGUACCUGUGA
This 6453-nucleotide ribosomal RNA is filed under the name Triticum aestivum (bread wheat). Its description in RNAcentral is "partial small subunit ribosomal RNA". The record is from RNAcentral. Lineage: Eukaryota; Viridiplantae; Streptophyta; Magnoliopsida; Poales; Poaceae.